AGCGAACGCUGGCGGCAGGCUUAACACAUGCAAGUCGAACGGGCAUCUUCGGAUGUCAGUGGCAGACGGGUGAGUAACACGUGGGAACGUACCCUUCGGUUCGGAAUAACUCAGAGAAACUUGAGCUAAUACCGGAUACGCCCUUUUGGGGAAAGGUUUACUGCCGAAGGAUCGGCCCGCGUCUGAUUAGCUUGUUGGUGGGGUAACGGCCUACCAAGGCGACGAUCAGUAGCUGGUCUGAGAGGAUGAUCAGCCACACUGGGACUGAGACACGGCCCAGACUCCUACGGGAGGCAGCAGUGGGGAAUAUUGGACAAUGGGCGCAAGCCUGAUCCAGCCAUGCCGCGUGAGUGAUGAAGGCCUUAGGGUUGUAAAGCUCUUUUGUCCGGGACGAUAAUGACGGUACCGGAAGAAUAAGCCCCGGCUAACUUCGUG
This 435-nucleotide ribosomal RNA is filed under the name uncultured bacterium. RNAcentral's name for it is "partial 16S ribosomal RNA". It matches the Rfam family "Bacterial small subunit ribosomal RNA", at positions 29 to 507 of the family's 1533-position model. The record is from RNAcentral.